This 591-nucleotide ribosomal RNA is filed under the name uncultured bacterium. Its description in RNAcentral is "bacterial SSU rRNA". It matches the Rfam family "Bacterial small subunit ribosomal RNA", at positions 338 to 943 of the family's 1533-position model. The record is from RNAcentral.
CCUACGGGAGGCAGCAGUGGGGAAUUUUCCGCAAUGGGCGAAAGCCUGACGGAGCAAUACCGCGUGAGGGAGGAAGGCUCUUGGGUUGUAAACCUCUUUUUUCAGGGAAGAUAAUGACGGUACCUGAGGAAUAAGCAUCGGCUAACUCCGUGCCAGCAGCCGCGGUAAUACGGAGGAUGCAAGCGUUAUCCGGAAUGAUUGGGCGUAAAGCGUCCGCAGGUGGUUUUAAAAGUCUGUUGUUAAAGCGUGAGGCUUAACCUCAUAAGGGCAAUGGAAACUGUAAGACUAGAGUACGUUCGGGGCAAGGGGAAUUCCCAGUGUAGCGGUGAAAUGCGUAGAGAUUGGGAAGAACACCGGUGGCGAAAGCGCCUUGCUAGGCCGUAACUGACACUGAGGGACGAAAGCUAGGGGAGCGAAUGGGAUUAGAUACCCCAGUAGUCCUAGCCGUAAACGAUGGAUACUAGGCGUUGUCUGUAUCGACCCGGACAGUGCCGUAGCUAACGCGUUAAGUAUCCCGCCUGGGGAGUACGCACGCAAGUGUGAAACUCAAAUGAAUUGACGGCUGAGACNGCGACGACGACACGAGGAGAG